AGUGAACGCUGGCGGUGGGCCUAACACAUGCAAGUCGAACGGACACACAGUAAGAUCUCGCCCCUAAGGGUAGCGGGUGGCGGGCGGGUAAGACGUGGAUAACCUUCUAAUUUUUCGUGGGGGACAUCGUGAAAACACUUCCGAUACUAGCGAAUAUGACCUACGGGUGAAUGCAGUAGUUCAUGGCAGCUUUCGCGUCUGUUAUAGCUGGUGUCGGGUCGCAUUAGCUAGUUGGUAAGGUAACGGCUUACCAAGGCUACGAUGCGUAGCUGAUCUGAGAGGGUGAUCGGCCACACUGGAACUGAGACACGGUCCAGACUCCUACGGGAGGCAGCAGUGGGGAAUAUUGCGCAAUGGGCGCAAGCCUGACGCAGCCAUACCGCGUGAGUGAAGAAGGCCUUCGGGUUGUAAAACUCUUUUGUUGGGAAAGAAAAACAGUAUAAUUAUACACGGCUGUUUUGACGGUACCUAAAGAGUAAGCACCGGCUAACUUCGUG
RNAcentral lists this ribosomal RNA (497 nucleotides) under uncultured bacterium. RNAcentral describes it as "partial 16S ribosomal RNA". It matches the Rfam family "Bacterial small subunit ribosomal RNA", at positions 29 to 507 of the family's 1533-position model. The record is from RNAcentral.